Lolium perenne is the source of this 717-nucleotide long non-coding RNA. RefSeq lists it as uncharacterized. The record is from RefSeq and is a predicted model, not a curated record. Lineage: Eukaryota; Viridiplantae; Streptophyta; Magnoliopsida; Poales; Poaceae.
GGUGCGGAGACGACAGGCUGUACGCAUUAAAUCCAGUUGACUUCCUCACACGUUCCAAAUAAUCCUCAUCUCCUCUUUCCCUUCGUCCCCAAAGCCAGUAACCUGGAGGCGGUGGUGCUGCUCAUCGUACGGCGCACGCCCGGCUCCAGCGCCCCCAACCUUCAUCGGCGACUCACUUGCCGGCCCCGGCGCGCGAGACGUCCGUCAAGGACGACCCGCAACUAUGCGCCCAGUCCCGGAGCUGCUACUGCCGACGCCACCAAGCGGCGUGGCUCCGAUGGCGGCGGCUGUCGCGUCUGCGCCUGAGAGGCUGAGACCAGGCGAGCUUGAGCCCGCCCCACCGCGCCGGAGUGUAGCACGCUAGCACGGGAAGGAGAAAUCGAUGUGCAUGCCUGACAAAGUGACGCGGGGAGUGCGGGGAGUGCGGGAGGAGGAAACGUGGCCACGUGGGAAAUCAGAACUUUCUGUUUUGGGAGCGUGUGGGUUUGUUUGACUAAUAUUUUUCUAUAUUUAGCUGGGUCACCCCUAAGACUAACCAGUGCUAUAGCACUAUGUAGCAGGGUCCAUAUAUAUUGGUAACUUCUCACGUCAAUUUGGUCAAAUAACACAUUAUAUUGUAUGAACUAUUUUUUACCGUCGACCCUAAUUGACUGAAAUAGUCAACGACUGAUUCUAGCUUUUGUAGAUAUACCUUUUGCAAAUCACUGAAAGAAUUUA